GAGGCGAGGCGAGGCCGUCGCUCCUCGCCCCCUGGGCACGGCCGACCCCCACCGCAUCCCCUCGCAGUGCUGCAGUAGAGUUCAGUGCUCUUAUAUGCCCCAGGGCACGGCCUCUCUAGCAAACCCUGGAGUGAAGCUGCUGUCAGCGUGUGGAGACUUGAGUGCCACCGACAGUCUGUUUUCUUUUUGUGUUCAGAGAGUUAUGCAGAGGGACCGGAGUGACUCAGUAAUAGGAAGUAUUGGUUGCACUGAGGCAAAACCAGGUGAAGUUAUUACUUGGUUUCUCUGUGACCUUGGGUCACUGUUCUGCAUCACUCUUCUGUUUGCUUAUGAAUCAGAAAUAGUAAUGCUUUCCAAAAACACACUGUGAAUAAAUACUAAUGAGCCUGAAAUGCUUAUCAGCUGUAGUAAUAAUAGGUAGAUAAUUAUAUUGUACCUCUAUAAUAGUGUGGACAGUACAGUUAGGAUUGUUUUGCUUGCAAGCUUUUCCUGUGGUAGUAACUUUGGAUAGGCAGUAACUUUGCAUUAGAAGACAUUUUAUAACUCAUGGUACUGUGUGAUUUUCAUUGUUACAAUCAUAGAAUUGUGGAAUGGCUUAAAUUGGAAGAGACCUUAAAGAUACUGAGUUCCAACCCUCUGCUGCAGGCAGUGUUAAGUCUUGUUUCAUAUUUUUGUGCAGAAAGUUCUCUAAUGGGCUUUUAAGUGAUCACCAUUCCACAGUGCAAAUAUUGUUUUGGUUUUUUUUUGUUUUUUUUUUCUUGUUUUCUUAAAACAGCACCAUUACUGCUGAGGAAACUUUGUGAAUUUCUAAUGGUGUCUGGUUGUCUCUGGGCAAGGUGAUAGAUUGAGGUUUUUGAUAUAGAAUUGGAAGAGAGACAUUCCAGUAUAUCUGCUCACAUCUUGGCAUGAUCAGGAAAUUACUUGGAACUGGUUUGUAGCUCACUGUGCCACCACACAGCUACGCUUGCCAGGGUUGAGUAGUAGUGUUUAUGAGGUGCUGUCUUGAGGUGCCUCAGUACUUGCAAGAAAAUACUGAAGUGGGUGACAGUAAGUUCAUUACAACAAGCUGAGCAGUUGAGGAAACAGUAUUUUUAUUCUCACAAUUAUAAGGUGAUCUGUGUGGAAAAUCAAAUGCCUUAAGUGUGCCAUUGGCAAACACAUUCACUAGAGGAAUCUGAAAACUCUGUAGGAGUUGCCUGGAGUGGUUCCUGCUGCUCUCCAGAGCAGUGCUGCCACUGCCAUAGCAGGUGAGCUGGAGCUGCUGCUCUCAAGAAUGCUGAGCAGAGUCAGCUGAGUUUUCCUCUGCAGUUUUGCUGUAUGCAAAUUGGAGCAGGUAGCUUGUUCAUUUAGUGCUCUUUGAUUUUGUUUUGUUCUUUUUUUUGUUUGUUUUUCUGAUCUAUUCUGGAACGAUACACCACACAGGAGCACUAACUGCCUGGUAUCUGUAAGUUUUGCUUCUGAGAGUAAUUUGUUCUGUAGUUUAUCACUUGUCUGCUCAAGUUUGUUUGGAACUUCCAUAAUGCUAAAUAGGACAACUGUUCUGUGUGAGGAGGAGGUGAGCACAACAGAAGACUUUUGUCUGCGGUUUAACAACAAAACUGAAAGUUGCUCUGGCAAAAUGGCAAUUCAUUGUUAAUUCAUGAGAUGUAGGUGCCCUGGAAAAAUCAAAUACCAGUUUCAUAGCUACCCUUAGGCAUCUCUAAUUUAUGCAAGCAGGGCUUGCUGAGUAGCUGCUGAGUAGCUACUGAGUCUCAUUGACCUUAGUAGGUUUGCAGAGGUCGUAUUUUAAGACAGAUAAGUUAUGCUUGAACUAUUUUUUCAGUAAGUACUAGGAGCAAGUGUUUGUGUACAUAAUUACGUGCUUUUUUCCAAUCCUCCAUUACAUUUUCUGUUUUUCUUUAGAUUCUGGCUUGUAAGUACUACAGUAAAUCCUAGAGUCUCUUUUGUUUGUGUUUUUUCUUAAUCAGUCAUCUUAAUAUUAGUAAGAAACGUGAGUUUUUGAGGACAACUUCUUUUUUGGGGUCUCAGUAAAAUGGGAGAAACAAAGGUUUCACAGACUGCCAGAAAGGCAGUUGUCGGAUCAGGGGAACUCGGGGUGUGGGAAGCCAGAACAACCCAAACGUGUGUGAGUGACAUCAGCAUUUUUCUGAGCCAUUUAUGCUGCUCACUUCUGUCGGUUCCCAGCAGUGCCUGUGUCUUAUGUAAGCUCACACUGUACAUCCUGUCCUGCUGUUCUCAUGCAUGAAAAUCAUUGGCGUUAUCUUACUGUACAUUUUGAGAGCUGAGCAGUGACUGACUACUUGUCUCAAAUGUUUGCAUGCAAGUCUCUCACAAGCAUGCUGGAGAGAGCUACGCCAAGAGCAUGGUGCUGUCCUCCUAGGAGACAUCAGAGGGAUAACUUGGAGUGGACGCAGCUCGUCCUCUGCUCGCUCUUAUAAUAGGCACUAUGAAGUAAUGCAGCAACUGAGGUAAUUGUACUGCUGCAGACAGAAGUCCUGAUCUGUAUCACGCGCAGAUGGACCACUAAUGCAGUUUCGAUGGCUGGUGAUAAAAACAGACAUAGAAAACAAAGGACAGUGGUUUCAACAGAGGCUUUAAUAAUGUUAGGACUGGAAAAGAGAGGCUUUUAUAUACUCUUACUGUGCACUGCUUGUUACAGGUCUUGGAAGGAAACCGUGCCUUCAGGUGGGCUGAUGCUUUACCCUUGUUCCUGUAGUUAGCAUUUAGUGAUGCAUAAUGAAGUACUGUCACUGGAUGGGUGAAAUUGGAGCAAACCUCCAAUACAAGGCUUCAGAAACAAACAUUCCCUCUAUUUUUUUUUUUCUUGCUAAACCUAUCUGUAAUCAUCAGUCAUAAAAUCCUGCAGUAAUGCGAUAUCUGUUAAUGCAAAGUAAGUUGGCCACCUUCUUUAAAUGCUACCCAGUACUUCAGUUACGAAGCAAAGCUGCCUCUACUUCUUAAAUACUCUUGUGUCUUCAUGCUGCUCCUGCAGUAUGGAGGAGACAGGUUUCUGCUCCUCUGCUCUGGUGAAUGCGCUUGUGUGGCACUGUGGCUUGUUUUGGGGGAGCUGUGUUUGUAGGUCUGUAGUUCGUUACAAGCACUGAUGGGAAAGGCUGACAGGCAGGAGAGGUGCACCUGGGUAGGAGUGCAUUUGUGGAAAGGCCUUGAAAGAUUCCUUCAUUCCUUCUUUGUGGCUUCCCAGUGUGAUCUGUUCCGUGCUGCGUGAAACAAUUCCUCAUUGUGCCGGAGUGUAAGACUUAACAAGGAAACCGGCCAUCUGAAGAGGAACAGGUGCAAUGCUCUGAUGCUUAGAAGCUACAUAAAUUCCUGAGUGAGCAGAUCUUGCAGAGUGUAAGGUAAUUUAUUGGCAAAACAUCUAAGAAGGACUUGAGUUUUUGUUUUGAGUAGGGAAUUGAAUGAUCUCUGCUGCCUUUAUCACACAAAU
Molecule: long non-coding RNA, 3445 nt
Organism: Tympanuchus pallidicinctus (lesser prairie-chicken)
Lineage: Eukaryota; Metazoa; Chordata; Aves; Galliformes; Phasianidae
Exons: 2
Source: RefSeq, a predicted model, not a curated record